Molecule: ribosomal RNA, 253 nt
Filed under: uncultured bacterium
Lineage: Bacteria
Description: partial 16S ribosomal RNA
Rfam family: Bacterial small subunit ribosomal RNA
Source: RNAcentral
UACAGAGGAUGCAAGCGUUAUCCGGAAUGAUUGGGCGUAAAGCGUCCGCAGGUGGUUUUGUAAGUCUGCUGUUAAAGCGUUAGGCUCAACCUGAUAAGGGCAGUGGAAACUAUGAGACUAGAGUAUGUUAGGGGUAGAGGGAAUUCCCAGUGUAGCGGUGAAAUGCGUAGAGAUUGGGAAGAACACCGGUGGCGAAAGCGCUCUGCUAGGACAAUACUGACACUGAGGGACGAAAGCUAGGGGAGCGAAUGGG